GAUGAAGAACGUAGCGAAAUGCGAUAAGUAGUGUGAAUUGCAGAAUUCAGUGAAUCAUCGAAUCUUUGAACGCACAUUGCGGCCAUAGGUAUUCCUUUGGCCAUGCCUGUUCGAGCGUCAUUUACACCCUCAAGCCUAGCUUGGUGUUGGGCGCCUGUCCCGCCGUUUUCGCGCGCGGACUCGCCUCAAAGUCAUUGGCGGCGGUCGUGCCGACCCCCUCGCGCAGCACAUUUGCGCUUCUCGGAGGCCCGGCGGAUCCGCGCUCCAGCAAGACCUUUCACGACUUGACCUCGGAUCAGGUAGGGAUACCCGCUGAACUUAAGCAUAUCAAUAAGCGGAGGA
This 342-nucleotide unclassified non-coding RNA is filed under the name soil metagenome. Its description in RNAcentral is "partial contains 5.8S ribosomal RNA, internal transcribed spacer 2, and large subunit ribosomal RNA". The stretch from base 1 to 120 matches the Rfam family "5.8S ribosomal RNA", at positions 35 to 154 of the family's 154-position model. The record is from RNAcentral.